RNAcentral lists this ribosomal RNA (467 nucleotides) under uncultured bacterium. RNAcentral describes it as "partial 16S ribosomal RNA". It matches the Rfam family "Bacterial small subunit ribosomal RNA", at positions 29 to 507 of the family's 1533-position model. The record is from RNAcentral.
ACGCACGCUGGCGGCGUGCUUCACCCCUGCAAGUCGAACGGAAAGGCCCUGCUUUUGUGGGGUGCUCGAGUGGCGAACGGGUGAGUAACACGUGAGUAACCUGCCCUUGACUUUGGGAUAACUUCAGGAAACUGGGGCUAAUACCGGAUAGGAGCUCCUGCUGCAUGGUGGGGGUUGGAAAGUUUCGGCGGUUGGGGAUGGACUCGCGGCUUAUCAGCUUGUUGGUGGGGUAGUGGCCUACCAAGGCUUUGACGGGUAGCCGGCCUGGGAGGGUGACCGGCCACAUUGGGACUGAGAUACGGCCCAGACUCCUACGGGAGGCAGCAGUGGGGAAUAUUGCACAAUGGGCGGAAGCCUGAUGCAGCAACGCCGCGUGCGGGAUGACGGCCUUCGGGUUGUAAACCGCUUUCGCCUGUGACGAAGCGUGAGUGACGGUAAUGGGUAAAGAAGCACCGGCUAACUACGUG